Molecule: non-coding RNA, 84 nt
Organism: Podarcis lilfordi (Lilford's wall lizard)
Lineage: Eukaryota; Metazoa; Chordata; Lepidosauria; Squamata; Lacertidae
Source: the annotation of a GenBank genome assembly
CCCAUUUUUCCUCUCUGGAAGUCCCCAUAUGAUGUGUUGUGCAAACGACACAUCAUAUGGGGACUUCUGGCGAGGAAAAAUGGU